RNAcentral lists this transfer RNA (78 nucleotides) under Oscillochloris sp. RNAcentral describes it as "tRNA-Arg". It matches the Rfam family "tRNA". From Rfam's summary of the family: Transfer RNA (tRNA) molecules are approximately 80 nucleotides in length. Their secondary structure includes four short double-helical elements and three loops (D, anti-codon, and T loops). Further hydrogen bonds mediate the characteristic L-shaped molecular structure. tRNAs have two regions of fundamental functional importance: the anti-codon, which is responsible for specific mRNA codon recognition, and the 3' end, to which the tRNAs corresponding amino acid is attached (by aminoacyl-tRNA synthetases). tRNAs cope with the degeneracy of the genetic code in two manners: having more than one tRNA (with a specific anti-codon) for a particular amino acid; and 'wobble' base-pairing, i.e. permitting non-standard base-pairing at the 3rd anti-codon position. The record is from RNAcentral. Lineage: Bacteria; Bacillati; Chloroflexota; Chloroflexia; Chloroflexales; Oscillochloridaceae.
UACCACGUAGCUCAGCGUAGAAAGAGCGCCGCCCUGCGAAGGCGGAGGCCACCGGUGCAACCCCGGCCGUGGUAGCCA